Molecule: ribosomal RNA, 258 nt
Filed under: uncultured bacterium
Lineage: Bacteria
Description: partial 16S ribosomal RNA
Rfam family: Bacterial small subunit ribosomal RNA
Source: RNAcentral
UGGCGGACGGGUGAGUAACGCGUGGGUAACCUGCCCUAUACAGGGGGAUAACAGUUAGAAAUGACUGCUAAUACCGCAUAAGCGCACAGGACCGCAUGGUUCAGUGUGAAAAACUGAGGUGGUAUAGGAUGGACCCGCGUCUGAUUAGCUAGUUGGUGGGGUAACGGCUCACCAAGGCGACGAUCAGUAGCCGGCCUGAGAGGGCGACCGGCCACAUUGGGACUGAGACACGGCCCAAACUCCUACGGAAGGCAGCAG